AAACUUAAAUGAAUUGACGGGGACCCGCACAAGCGGUGGAUGAUGUGGUUUAAUUCGAUGCAACGCGAAAAACCUUACCCACCUUUGACAUGUACGGAACCCUUUAGAGAUAGAGGGGUGCUCGAAAGGGAGCCGUAACACAGGUGCUGCAUGGCUGUCGUCAGCUCGUGUCGUGAGAUGUUGGGUUAAGUCCCGCAACGAGCGCAACCCUUGUCAUUAGUUGCUACAUUCAGUUGGGCACUCUAAUGAGACUGCCGGUGACAAGCCGGAGGAAGGUGGGGAUGACGUCAAGUCCUCAUGGCCCUUAUAGGUGGGGCUACACACGUCAUACAAUGGCUGGUACAAAGGGUUGCCAACCCGCGAGGGGGAGCCAAUCCCAUAAAGCCAGUCGUAGUCCGGAUCGUAGUCUGCAACUCGACUACGUGAAGUCGGAAUCGCUAGUAAUCGUGGAUCAGAAUGUCACGGUGAAUACGUUCCCGGGUCUU
This 485-nucleotide ribosomal RNA is filed under the name uncultured Rhodoferax sp. RNAcentral's name for it is "bacterial SSU rRNA". It matches the Rfam family "Bacterial small subunit ribosomal RNA", at positions 897 to 1382 of the family's 1533-position model. The record is from RNAcentral. Lineage: Bacteria; Pseudomonadati; Pseudomonadota; Betaproteobacteria; Burkholderiales; Comamonadaceae.